GGGUGCAAAUGAGGACAACGCCGAACAUUGCGAUGGCGGUAUUGCGACGCCAAUGCUUGGGCCUGCAGUAAGGGCCUCCACUCAUGCUCCACACCUUCGCCCUGAAAUCCCCAUGGGCACCCUCAGCUCCAUGACCAUGCUCUGCUCCUCCUCCCAUGUUCGAUCAAUUUUAUUGGUUCACUCUUCGUUCUCUCUCUCCCCCUCCUUCUUCGACUGAGAGAUGGCUGAAUAGAGCGGGAUCAGUCGUCCACCAGUGGCGGUUUGGUGCUCGUUGCCUCCGGGUGCUCGUUAAUCGUAUGGAGGCUGAUCGGAUAGUUUUGUUUUUUCACGUCCCC
Molecule: unclassified non-coding RNA, 335 nt
Filed under: Hevea brasiliensis (rubber tree)
Lineage: Eukaryota; Viridiplantae; Streptophyta; Magnoliopsida; Malpighiales; Euphorbiaceae
Source: RNAcentral